GCAUCAGGGUAUGUUUUUGCUCCUGCACUCAAAAGAUCAACUAAUUGUAUCAGAAGAAAUCAAGCAAAAUGACGAAAAAUAAGUCGUAUAGCCAAUCCAAGAUUGAUUGGGAUUGAAAAUGAGUUGAGUUGGUAAGUGUUUUUACUUUGUUUACUACAUCUUCUAUCAGAUCAUUUCCCAGAGAAACAUGCUUAUAAUCUAAAAUGAUUGUGGAAAAAUAUCGUUUACAAGGUUGAGAAUCAUCUCCAUAGUUUCAUUAAGAGUUGGUUGUAAGAGAAGACCAAUUACAUAUCCUGGAUUUAAUGUAACCAAGUUAAUUGAAUUCUCUUUUGCAAAUCUCCAAGCUGCCUCCUCUGCUAAGGUU
Molecule: unclassified non-coding RNA, 364 nt
Filed under: Hevea brasiliensis (rubber tree)
Lineage: Eukaryota; Viridiplantae; Streptophyta; Magnoliopsida; Malpighiales; Euphorbiaceae
Source: RNAcentral